GAUGAACGCUGGCGGCGUGCCUAACACAUGCAAGUCGAGCGGUAGAUAUUGGAAUGAAACUUCGGUCGAGUGAAGAUAUUGAGAGCGGCGGACGGGUGAGUAACGCGUAGGCAACCUGCCCCAUACAGAGGGAUAGCCUCGGGAAACCGGGAUUAAAACCUCAUAAUGCGAGAGAUUCACAUGUUUCUCUCGCCAAAGAUUUAUCGGUAUGGGAUGGGCCUGCGUCUGAUUAGCUAGUUGGUGAGGUAACGGCUCACCAAGGCAACGAUCAGUAGCCGACCUGAGAGGGUAAUCGGCCACAUUGGAACUGAGACACGGUCCAAACUCCUACGGGAGGCAGCAGUGGGGAAUAUUGCACAAUGGGCGAAAGCCUGAUGCAGCAACGCCGCGUGAGCGAUGAAGGCCUUUGGGUCGUAAAGCUCUGUCCUUGGGGAAGAAAAAAUAGAACGGUACCCUUGGAGGAAAGCCCCGGCUAACUACGUGCCAGCAGCCGCGGUAAA
This 500-nucleotide ribosomal RNA is filed under the name uncultured bacterium. Its description in RNAcentral is "bacterial SSU rRNA". It matches the Rfam family "Bacterial small subunit ribosomal RNA", at positions 28 to 524 of the family's 1533-position model. The record is from RNAcentral.